RNAcentral lists this long non-coding RNA (3585 nucleotides) under Homo sapiens (human). RNAcentral describes it as "HSALNT0228177". Lineage: Eukaryota; Metazoa; Chordata; Mammalia; Primates; Hominidae. The record is from RNAcentral.
AUCUGUGACCCGGGGCCACGUGCUGGGAUCAGCUCUUUACACGAAGGAGCUCACUGACUCCCCUGGAUCCCCUUGCCAGGUCUCACCUCCCAUCAAGGAAGAUGUCCAGAUUGCUGUCUGACGUCUGGUCUCUGGACUGAAGGCCAUUUAGUGCAGAUCUCACAAAUGAUGGUGGGGCAAGGCAGGGGGUAUGCAUGAGUGGCAUGGGCAAGGUGUGAGUUGGGGGAUACAAAAGGGAGUGGUGGAGGCCGGGCACGGUGGCUCACACCUGUAAUCCCAGCACUUUGGGAGGCCAAUGCGGGCGAAUCACCUGAGGUCAGGAGUUCAGGGCCAGUCUGAUAGCCUGAGCAACAUGGAGAAACCCCGCCUCUAAUAAAAAAUACAAAAAUUAGUGAAGCCGACUGGACCAGCAGGUGGCUGUUGUGUGGCCUCUCAGGAGGACGCCCUCUCCCUUCCCCCAGUGGUUGCAAAAUACUUCAGAAAGAAAACCAAAGUUCUCUGUGGGUGCAGUCGGUUGUUUCAGAAGCUGACGGAGCCUGGUCUUUGUAUAACCCCAUCUUUCCCCUUUCUUUCUGUCAACUGUUUAUGGGAGGAUUCUCAAACUGUUCUGGAGAAUGUUUCUACCCUUUAGUUCUAGUGUUGGGUGACCUGUAAUUUUCAUGUUGGCUGGGGAUGCCAGGAGUUGGCAGAGGCUCCUUCCAGAGCCCCUGUGGACUGGAUUCUGCCACUUCCGUAAAAUCAUUCAAAAGUAGAGGGUGAGUCAGGUGCAGUAGCUCACAUCUGUAAUCCCAGCACCUUGAGAGGCCAAGGCAGGCAGAUCCCCUGAGGUCAGGAGUUCAAGAUCACCCUGGCCAACAUGGUGAGACCCUGUCUCUACUAAAAAAAAUUUAAAAAUCAGCUAGAUGUGGUGGCACACGCCUGUGGUCCCAGCUACUCAGAAGGCUGAGGCAGGAGAAUUGCUUGAACCCAGGAGGUGGAGGUUGCAGUGAGCUGAGAUCAUACCACAACCCAGUGAAGGGGGUCCAGCAAGCCAUGCCUGGGGUGAGAGAGAACUGAUGUUUUGGUUCUCUCACACUACUUAUUCUGUUUGGAAAAACACAUGCCCUUCCUUUGUGGGAACAGCCCCUACCCACUUCUGUGGCUCUGAAGGGACCACCAGUCAUGGCACCAGCCCCCUGGGCAUGGGAUUGGCCCCUGACAGGCACAUGACUUGAGCCAGGCCAAUUAGAGGCCUUCCUUGGGAUUUACUAUAUGGACGUUAGGAGAGAGAUGCUCUCUUAUUCUGCUGGAGUUUGCUGAACUUGCAUGGGAAGGGAUAGGCCUUAUGGAGAGACCAACACAUAGAUAAUAGUUGGGAUGGGAGAUGAAAGGAGAGAAUCCUGACAUCAUUUGAGUCCCCUGAUCCAGCAACACCUGAGGCUAGAUCCUCUUAGCUGUGUGAGCCUAUAGUAUCAGUCUCUGUCUCCUCUGUCUCUCUUAAUGUGUGGGAUUCAGCCAUCUGCAACAACUACCACAAAAUCCCGGAGUAUGCAGGGAACUUCCCACAGAGCUAACUUCCUUUUUUGUUCUGUCUCCUAAAACACCAAGAUCCGGUGAGGUUAAGCAACGUGUCCAAGGUCAUCACUAUUUGAAGGCAGGGCAGCAUUUAACCCAAUUUUAUCUAAUCCUAUGCAGGCUCAUUUAUCUAGACCAGAGUUUCUCAAAUGAGGCAUCCCAGGCUCUAAGGGCUGCAGAGAAGUUUCCAGAGAUGCCACUGAGGGCAGGAGUGGACAGAGUGGAUAACUCCAAAGAUCUUAACACCCUCUGGAUGACUAACAGUGCUUGAGCACUUCCCAUUUGCAAGACAUUUGCAAGUUCUUUUCCAUAAAUCAUCCUUUUUUUUCAUCCCCAUAAGCUAUGAGCUGGGGCUAAUGACAUCCCCACUGAACAGAUGAGAAAACUGAGGCCCAGGAAAGGAAUUGCUCAGGUUAUAUAGAACCUGUGAUGCGUUCUGGGAGGAACCAUAUCUUAAGCCUGAUACUACUUAGUGGGAUCAGCUGGAAGGCAAGGUGGGGAGGCGGCAGUGCCGCCAGAGUAGCGUUGGGGGCUGGACUGGGGGUCAAAUGAUGAGGUUUUUUUGUUUUUGUUUUUGUUUUUGUCUUGUUUGUUUGUUUUUUUUUUUGAUACGGAGUCUGGCCCUGUCACUCAGGCUGGAGUGCAAUGGUGACAUCUCCACUCACUGCAACCUCUGCCUCCUGGGUUCAAACGAUUCUCCUGCCUCAAGCCUCCUGAGUAGCUGGGAUUAUAGGUGCCUACCACCACGCCCAGCUAAUUUUUCUAUUUUUAGCAGAGAUGGGGUUUCACUAUGUUGGCCAGAUUGGUCUUGAACUCCUGACCUUGUGAUCCGCCUGCCUCGGCCUCCCAAAAUGCCGGGAUUACAGUCGUGAGCCACCGCACCCGGCCAAUGAUGAGCUUUUCUGAAGUAGCAUCAGACCAGGCUGCAAAAGAGGGGCACCAGGGAAAGCUUUUCCUGCCAUUCACCCCUGCAGGAUCCUGGCCAGGCGAGUAGCUGUGUGACCCUGGGUUGAGUCAUCCCCAUUUUACAGAGGGAAAACUGAGACUCCGGAGGUUUGCGACAUGGCCUGCUAACAGGCAGAGCCGGGAUUCAAAUCAAGAUCUCACUCCAGUGAGUGAAUGGGAACAGGAUGCAGAUGGUAGACACUGAACACGAAGAAGAAAGCACUGAGGCUGGGAUGAAGAAAGACUUGCUGGCCUUUGAAGGACACUGCAUAACGAAGAAAUUAGAUCCUUGACAAUAUCCCUCGGCAAAUGUUGUGAAGACAGACCUGUCGUGCGAUUUUUGUCAGGUGCUCCAGGAAGAUUACAACAGUCUGUACUCUUUACCAAUAAGGCGUGAAGGUGCCCAUUUCACCACGUUUUUGCCAUCACAGCUUAUUAAUUUUUAAAUUUUGUUGCUACUCUGGGGCAGGAUGGAGUAACCACUGGACUGAAGAAAUGAUCUGUGAGUCCAGACGUGGUGGCUCAUGCCUCUAAUCCCAGCAUUUUAGGAGGCUGAGGUCAGAGAAUUGCUCGAGCCGAGGAGUUCAAGAUCAGCCUGGGCAACAAAGCAUGAUGUUGUCUCCACAAAAAUAAAAUAAUGAAGUAAAAUAUCUGAAACCUGCUGCAGCCUGUUCAUUGGUGUUAAGAUAACUCCCUCUCCCAGAAGCCUUGGCUAAGCACACUGUCGAGGCCAGUGCUUCUCAAUAGGUGGGUGACUUUGUCCUCCUCACCCCCAGGGACACUUGGUAAUAUCUGGAGACAUUUUGGGUUACUGCAAUUGGAUGGUAUGCUACUGGCACCUAUGGGCAGAAGCCAGGGAUGCUGUUUCACACCCUGCAGCAAACAAGACAGCCCUGUCCACCCAACAAAGAAUUGUCUGGCCACAACAUUACUAAAGCUGAGGCUGAGGGAAGUUGGUCUAGGCUACAUGUUUUUCUCUUUACAGAGAAAAUGACCCAUCAUGUCUCCUAAUAGAGAAACGCUGCUUCCGGCCGAAUGACAAGAGCUCACGCCUGUAAUCCCGACACUUUGGGAGGCCAAGGCAGG